Molecule: ribosomal RNA, 253 nt
Filed under: uncultured bacterium
Lineage: Bacteria
Description: partial 16S ribosomal RNA
Rfam family: Bacterial small subunit ribosomal RNA
Source: RNAcentral
UACGGGGGGGGCAAGCGUUGUUCGGAAUUACUGGGCGUAAAGGGCGCGUAGGCGGCCUGCUAAGUCACACGUGAAAUCCCUCGGCUCAACCGGGGAACUGCGUGUGAUACUGGCGGGCUUGAAUUCGGGAGAGGGAUGCAGAAUUCCAGGUGUAGCGGUGAAAUGCGUAGAUAUCUGGAGGAAUACCGGUGGCGAAGGCGGCAUCCUGGACCGGCAUUGACGCUGAGGAGCGAAAGCCAGGGGAGCAAACGGG